Long non-coding RNA from Sebastes umbrosus (honeycomb rockfish), 1174 nucleotides. RefSeq lists it as uncharacterized. The transcript has 2 exons. The record is from RefSeq and is a predicted model, not a curated record. NCBI's taxonomy places the organism in Eukaryota, Metazoa, Chordata, Actinopteri, Perciformes, Sebastidae.
CUCUGUGGAUUGAGCGUUUCGAUACUUUCACAGUAUUUAUAUAACAAUUACCUGCUUUAUAACAUAAAAUACAUGAAAAUCUAAAUUUUUAGAAUAUGGGACCUUUACAUUUUCUCAUAGAGGCAUGCAAUUGGGAGUGGCAAUAUGACAUAGGUGCUUUGUCUACAGUAGAAGAAGCUCAAUCAGUAACUCAUACAGAGCUGACAGGGGUCCUGCCAACACUCAUUGCAGGGUCAGGACGGAGAAAGGGGGUAUUAGGACCAGAGACAGGUGGCACGGGGGUCCGCUGUGUUGCGAGAACAGAUGGCUGAUCUGACGCGAAUCGGGGGCGCUGACCUUUUCUCCCCUACGGUACAGUACAGCGAUCCACGCAAGUGUUUGUGCAUGUACACAAAAAUCGAACCCACGUGCACGCACACGCUCAGACAAGCCCUCACACACAAGCACAAACUCGAGAAGGCAUUUGCACUCCUCACAGCUGUUCCCCCCUCACAGCUGCUUUCAACAUAACAGCUUAAAAAAACAAUCACCUUUUAGCGCCAUCGCCUCUUACAUGCUGUGGAUCUGAAUCCCCACUAACCUGAAUUAUUCCAUUCCCUACCACACCUACACAAAAAAAGCAUAUGAUUAUCAGCCUUGCAUGGAGGCUAAUGCUGUGGUAAAUGAUCCCUGUGUGAAGGCACGCAGACUGCAGAGAAUACAGCGCUUUAGCCGGCCACUCCCGUAUACCUCCGCACGCGGGCACACAUGCUGAAUUACCUUGUCGCUAGGCAAUUAUUUGUCCUGUCCCAGCUUUGGAGUGAUGUAAAUUACUUUAAGUGCACUUUGCAGGGGCCGCCAUCACGAUAAUGAUGAUUGCGGCGGGGCUCUGACACACACAAAUAUUCAGCUAUACCUUUAGAGAGAGGGGCUGCAUUCAGGAGGGGCUGUGAGUGGGGAAUCAAGACAUAGCAGCUAAGAAGAAACUCAGACUGAUGAGAGUAUGUGUGUGUUCUUAAGAAACAAAGAGGGAGAGAUGGAGACGAAGCCAAAUGUCUUUCAGCUUCUUUAGUAGUGAGUUGCAUUCAUCUUGUAUACCCUCUCCAUCAUUUCAUCUAACUACAGUCAGUUCAAUUUACAGAUGAAUAUCGCAACUCAUACCCAAAAUACAAUAAAUAUACAUGUUUUUCCAUCA